Long non-coding RNA from Pseudophryne corroboree (corroboree frog), 1948 nucleotides. RefSeq lists it as uncharacterized. The record is from RefSeq and is a predicted model, not a curated record. The transcript has 6 exons. NCBI's taxonomy places the organism in Eukaryota, Metazoa, Chordata, Amphibia, Anura, Myobatrachidae.
GAGGUGCAGGGAGAGAGAAGGGGAGUAGGGAAAGAGAGAGAUAUGUGGGUUUGGGAGAGGCAGAUGACAUGAGACGAGAAAGGACAUAUAAUGAAACUUUUUCUGAGGAUAUAUGUAGCAGUAGUCAGACCUGUCUGAUGUAUGUGGUCUUGGUGUGGUGCAAUGACAGAAACCCCUUUACUGACACUGCAGCACAAUAGUAAAGAUAUAUAGCUGACAAGAGGUCAUCAUCCUGUCAUGUCUACAGAUGGUUCUGCUGCUGCCAACACAAAUACAUCACCCAGAGCCCACCCACACAACAGACACAGUCACAGCCUUUAUUAUAUAAAAACUCACAAUUUACACUGAGUAUCCUGACCAGGGCUAAACAAGAGAGAGCUCUAAUAAAUAAACAAUCCAGGAUCCAGAAACACACUGCACAGCUGCAUCAACCUGCCUCGAGGACACAGACAGAGUGAAAGAAGCCACGUGACGUCAGCUGACCUGCUCCAGCAGGAUUCUUUUUUACAAACAAGAAAAACUUUAAUCAGUAAAACAAAAACGAACACUGCAGGUCAGCAGAUAGCGGCUCUGUGCUGCCCGGAGGGCUGUUAACGGCAGCUAAACCUGACGAAGCGGGCACAGGAGGAAAGGGGCAGCGAAACAAAAUUUCAACAAAUAAACGACACCAUGGACUUCAUUCAGCUUGGAUCGCCAUUGAGACAGAAACUGCGAUUUUCUCAACUCUGCUUCUGCUAAAAACCGCAUGUGAAGAGCAGCCCAGAAAGCUGCCUCAGACUCAAGAGCCCUGAUUUUAUAAAUGUCUGAGAAUACCAUGCCAUGACAACCAGAACUCGCCAGAAGUGUGGCAGUAGGAAGGGUGAAAUUGAGAAAGGAGAUAUACAAAUUUUCUUGAAAAGUUGAUUGACCAGCUUGUAGACACAUGACCAGUCCAACCUGGAUGCUUCCCUACAUCUACAGGCCAGCCCAGGGACAGCAGGAACUCCAGAAAGUGAGGCUGAACAUUACUAGUAGACUCUACAUUCUUCAGGAUCUAAGACGUGCCACAUAGGAGUAAAGACAACCACUAUAUAUCUUUCAUGUAGAAUACGAAAACUGUAUCGAAGGGACGACAGGGAAGCAAAUCCAAGUAUCCAAUAUCAUCAAAGAAUCCAGCAAAGCUGGGGAACACUGGACCGCAGGAUUUUCAACAGCCGCCCCCAGGGGAGGGAAUGCUCAGCUACCAGACCGGAGAACUGUCUGCCUAAAGUGGGUGUCACCAGAGGAAUGAACCUGAAAACGCAAAAAACAUGUGGAUAGAGGACCAGAGUGCCGUACAACAGACUUGUUUAUCAAAGCUUUGUGUCGUGCUGCCCUGGACUUCGCCACUGCCCCUACGCAGACAACCUAUAUGGUGUUGGUCGCCUUGCACUAUGUAUGUGCGUUGUAAAUAACAAGCAGAGAAUCUGAGCGACAGACAGAAAAAAAACUUGUUCAAGUAAAACUGCAGAAAAUGUGGCCUACUCCACGAGACACAUAAAUGGUGGUACUCUGGAGUUGCAGGGGGGAGAAGCUUAGAAUUUAAAGCUACAGUAUAGUCUAUGAGCCAUGGUCCAGUGUUUCCCAGCUCUGCGGAAAGAGAAAUAUACAUAUCUCUCUCUCUCUCUCUAUAUAUAUAUAUAUAUAUAUAUACACACACAUAUAUAUAUAUAUAUAUAUAUAUAUACACACACACACAUACCUACAUAUACACACAUACAUACAUAUACACACACUUUUUUUUUAAUAGGUAAUAGAAGUUAAGUAUCCCAUAUCCAAAUAUUCAGAAAUACGGAAUAUUACGAAAUACAGAAAUUUUGGAGUUUGUUUCUGAUGGCUCACUGUACACAAACUUUGUUUAACGCACAAAGUAAUUAAAAAUAUUGUAUUUAAUGACCUUCAGGCUGUGUGUAUAAGGUGUAUAUGAAAC